Molecule: ribosomal RNA, 408 nt
Filed under: uncultured bacterium
Lineage: Bacteria
Description: bacterial SSU rRNA
Rfam family: Bacterial small subunit ribosomal RNA
Source: RNAcentral
AUUGAACGCUGGCGGCAUGCCUAACACAUGCAAGUCGAACGAAGGCUUCGGCCUUAGUGGCGCACGGGUGCGUAACGCGUGGGAAUCUGCCCUUGGGUUCGGAAUAACUCAGAGAAAUUUGAGCUAAUACCGGAUGAUGACGUAAGUCCAAAGAUUUAUCGCCCAAGGAUGAGCCCGCGUAAGAUUAGCUAGUUGGUGGGGUAAAGGCCUACCAAGGCGACGAUCUUUAGCUGGUCUGAGAGGAUGAUCAGCCACACUGGGACUGAGACACGGCCCAGACUCCUACGGGAGGCAGCAGUGGGGAAUAUUGCGCAAUGGGGGAAACCCUGACGCAGCCACGCCGCGUGGGUGAUGAAGGCCUCGGGUUGUAAGACCUGUCGGGGGGACGGAAGUACUGACGGUACCCGU